This 69-nucleotide transfer RNA is filed under the name Dipodomys ordii (Ord's kangaroo rat). It matches the Rfam family "tRNA". Rfam says of the family: Transfer RNA (tRNA) molecules are approximately 80 nucleotides in length. Their secondary structure includes four short double-helical elements and three loops (D, anti-codon, and T loops). The record is from Rfam by way of RNAcentral. Lineage: Eukaryota; Metazoa; Chordata; Mammalia; Rodentia; Heteromyidae.
GGGACUAUAGCUUAGUGGUAGAGUGCUUGCCUAACAUGCAUGAAGCCUGGGUUCAACUCCUCGGUACUA